Molecule: ribosomal RNA, 465 nt
Filed under: Escherichia coli
Lineage: Bacteria; Pseudomonadati; Pseudomonadota; Gammaproteobacteria; Enterobacterales; Enterobacteriaceae
Description: partial 23S ribosomal RNA
Rfam family: Bacterial large subunit ribosomal RNA
Source: RNAcentral
UGGGAAACAGGUUAAUAUUCCUGUACUUGGUGUUACUGCGAAGGGGGGACGGAGAAGGCUAUGUUGGCCGGGCGACGGUUGUCCCGGUUUAAGCGUGUAGGCUGGUUUUCCAGGCAAAUCCGGAAAAUCAAGGCUGAGGCGUGAUGACGAGGCACUACGGUGCUGAAGCAACAAAUGCCCUGCUUCCAGGAAAAGCCUCUAAGCAUCAGGUAACAUCAAAUCGUACCCCAAACCGACACAGGUGGUCAGGUAGAGAAUACCAAGGCGCUUGAGAGAACUCGGGUGAAGGAACUAGGCAAAAUGGUGCCGUAACUUCGGGAGAAGGCACGCUGAUAUGUAGGUGAAGUCCCUCGCGGAUGGAGCUGAAAUCAGUCGAAGAUACCAGCUGGCUGCAACUGUUUAUUAAAAACACAGCACUGUGCAAACACGAAAGUGGACGUAUACGGUGUGACGCCUGCCCGGUGC